CUGGGAGUUUGAAACAGGCUGUGCCCCUUGCUGUUGUGAUGGGUUAUUUAGGGCCAGCGUUAGGCAACUCCCAUUACUUACGUUUGCAGGAGGUCCUGGCUAACUCCACUAAGGUUGCCGCUCAUUCGGGAAUUCACAGGAUGUCCUGAUUUCUGUGGGUCUCUCCCAGUGGGCAGUUAAGUCGCCCAAAUCAUUUUGGAUGCCAUAUUUCAUCAGCAUGAUGUAACGGUGUUGGGUCAAGGCCUGGAGAUACAAACAUCAUAGUUAUUCUAGGAACAGGUUGGAUUUAGGGACCGAAAGCUAACCUAAGUGGGGGGACACCAAAACCCUCCUUCCCUCCUGCGGCUGUUGCAGCUCUUGAUCCAGGCUGAGGAGGAUGCAAAGCAGUACCUGUUCAGAUGAGCCCGCUGCUGGGAGAUCCCACUCUGAUAUUAAGUAAGAGCUGUGCAUGGAUUUCGUUUUCAUGAGAGUGACACACCAACAGGACUGGCACCAGUCAGGGUCACAUAUGUUGGAACAUGUUUUGCCCUGGCUUUCUCUGCAAACAGGAAAUAACAGUUCUGCUGCAGCCCUGUGGUAUGAAAGCUCAUUACCAGGAAGAACUUCAGUGCAGUUAACAUCUCGU
This 625-nucleotide long non-coding RNA is filed under the name Gopherus agassizii (Agassiz's desert tortoise). RNAcentral describes it as "lncRNA (ENSGAGG00000006630.1)". The record is from RNAcentral. Lineage: Eukaryota; Metazoa; Chordata; Testudines; Testudinidae.